GACGAACCGUCCAAACGUUAUUCGGAAUUACUGGGCUUAAAGGGUGCGUAGGCGGUGCCGCAAGUCGGGUGUGAAAUCCCUCAGCUUAACUGAGGAACUGCGCCCGAAACUGCGGUGCUGGAGGGAGACAGGGGUGAGCGGAACUGAUGGUGGAGCGGUGAAAUGUGUUGAUAUCAUCAGGAACACCGGUGGCGAAAGCGGCUCACUGGGUCUCUUCUGACGCUGAGGCACGAAAGCUAGGGGAGCAAACGGG
RNAcentral lists this ribosomal RNA (253 nucleotides) under uncultured bacterium. Its description in RNAcentral is "partial 16S ribosomal RNA". It matches the Rfam family "Bacterial small subunit ribosomal RNA", at positions 524 to 776 of the family's 1533-position model. The record is from RNAcentral.